CCUACGGGGGGCAGCAGUGGGGAAUAUUGCACAAUGGGCGCAAGCCUGAUGCAGCCAUGCCGCGUGUGUGAAGAAGGCCUUCGGGUUGUAAAGCACUUUCAGCGGGGAGGAAGGCGGUGAGGUUAAUAACCUCAUCGAUUGACGUUACCCGCAGAAGAGGCACCGGCUAACUCCGUGCCGGCAGCCGCGGUAAUACGGAGGGUGCAAGCGUUAAUCGGAAUUACUGGGCGUAAAGCGCACGCAGGCGGUCUGUCAAGUCGGACGUGAAAUCCCCGGGCUCAACCUGGGAACUGCAUUCGAAACUGGCAGGCUAGAGUCUUGUAGAGGGGGGUAGAAUUCCAGGUGUAGCGGUGAAAUGCGUAGAGAUCUGGAGGAAUACCGGUGGCGAAGGCGGCCCCCUGGCCAAAGACUGACGCUCAGGUGCGAAAGCGUGGGGAGCAAACAGGAUUAGAUACCCUAGUAGUC
RNAcentral lists this ribosomal RNA (465 nucleotides) under uncultured Klebsiella sp. RNAcentral describes it as "bacterial SSU rRNA". It matches the Rfam family "Bacterial small subunit ribosomal RNA", at positions 338 to 795 of the family's 1533-position model. The record is from RNAcentral. Lineage: Bacteria; Pseudomonadati; Pseudomonadota; Gammaproteobacteria; Enterobacterales; Enterobacteriaceae.